This 253-nucleotide ribosomal RNA is filed under the name uncultured bacterium. RNAcentral describes it as "partial 16S ribosomal RNA". It matches the Rfam family "Bacterial small subunit ribosomal RNA", at positions 524 to 776 of the family's 1533-position model. The record is from RNAcentral.
UACGUAGGUGGCAAGCGUUGUCCGGAAUUAUUGGGCGUAAAGCGCGCGCAGGCGGUCCUUUAAGUCUGAUGUGAAAGUCCACGGCUCAACCGUGGAGGGUCAUUGGAAACUGGAGGACUUGAGUACAGAAGAGGAAAGCGGAAUUCCACGUGUAGCGGUGAAAUGCGUAGAGAUGUGGAGGAACACCAGUGGCGAAGGCGGCUUUCUGGUCUGUAACUGACGCUGAGGCGCGAAAGCGUGGGGAGCAAACAGG